This 484-nucleotide ribosomal RNA is filed under the name uncultured bacterium. RNAcentral's name for it is "partial 16S ribosomal RNA". It matches the Rfam family "Bacterial small subunit ribosomal RNA", at positions 30 to 507 of the family's 1533-position model. The record is from RNAcentral.
AUUGAACGCUGGCGGCAGGCCUAACACAUGCAAGUCGAGCGGAUGAAGGGAGCUUGCUCCUGGAUUCAGCGGCGGACGGGUGAGUAAUGCCUAGGAAUCUGCCUGGUAGUGGGGGAUAACGUCCGGAAACGGGCGCUAAUACCGCAUACGUCCUGAGGGAGAAAGUGGGGGAUCUUCGGACCUCACGCUAUCAGAUGAGCCUAGGUCGGAUUAGCUAGUUGGUGGGGUAAAGGCCUACCAAGGCGACGAUCCGUAACUGGUCUGAGAGGAUGAUCAGUCACACUGGAACUGAGACACGGUCCAGACUCAUACGGGAGGCAGCAGUGGGGAAUAUUGGACAAUGGGCGAAAGCAUGAUCCAGCCAUGCCGCGUGUGUGAAGAAGGUCUUCGGAUUGUAAAGCACUUUAAGUUGGGAGGAAGGGCAGUAAGUUAAUACCUUGCUGUUUUGACGUUACCAACAGAAUAAGCACCGGCUAACUUCGUG